RNAcentral lists this ribosomal RNA (610 nucleotides) under Marinobacter sp. Its description in RNAcentral is "bacterial SSU rRNA". It matches the Rfam family "Bacterial small subunit ribosomal RNA", at positions 39 to 641 of the family's 1533-position model. Lineage: Bacteria; Pseudomonadati; Pseudomonadota; Gammaproteobacteria; Pseudomonadales; Marinobacteraceae. The record is from RNAcentral.
GAUGCGCGGCUUACCAUGCAAGUCGAGCGGUAACAGGGGGUGCUUGCACCCCGCUGACGAGCGGCGGACGGGUGAGUAAUGCAUAGGAAUCUGCCCAGUAGUGGGGGAUAGCCCGGGGAAACCCGGAUUAAUACCGCAUACGCCCUUUGGGGGAAAGCAGGGGAUCUUCGGACCUUGCGCUAUUGGAUGAGCCUAUGUCGGAUUAGCUAGUUGGUGGGGUAAAGGCCUACCAAGGCGACGAUCCGUAGCUGGUCUGAGAGGAUGAUCAGCCACAUCGGGACUGAGACACGGCCCGAACUCCUACGGGAGGCAGCAGUGGGGAAUAUUGGACAAUGGGGGCAACCCUGAUCCAGCCAUGCCGCGUGUGUGAAGAAGGCUUUCGGGUUGUAAAGCACUUUCAGUGAGGAGGAAAACCUUCUGGUUAAUACCCAUGAGGCUUGACGUUACUCACAGAAGAAGCACCGGCUAACUCCGUGCCAGCAGCCGCGGUAAUACGGAGGGUGCAAGCGUUAAUCGGAAUUACUGGGCGUAAAGCGCGCGUAGGUGGUUUGAUAAGCGAGAUGUGAAAGCCCCGGGCUUAACCUGGGAACGGCAUUUCGAACUGUCAGGC